AGAGUUUGAUCCUGGCUCAGGAUGAACGCUGGCGGUGCGCCUAAUGCAUGCAAGUCGAGCGACGCACACUCAGUCCGUAAGGACAGGGUAUGACGGAGCGGCGAACGGGUGAGUAACACGUGAGCAACCUGCCCCACAGAUCGGGAUAGCCCAGGGAAACCUGGAUUAAUACCGAAUAUUCUCCUUGGACCACAUGGUCCGUUGAGGAAAUGCCUUUGUGCUGUGGGAUGGGCUCGCGACUUAUCAGUUAGUUGGUGGGGUAACGGCCUACCAAGACAAUGACGAGUAGCUGGUCUGAGAGGACGAUCAGCCACACUGGAACUGAGACACGGUCCAGACUCCUACGGGAGGCAGCAGCAGGGAAUCUUGCGCAAUGGACGAAAGUCUGACGCAGCGACACCGCGUGGGGGAUGAAGGCCUUCGGGUUGUAAACCCCUUUUAGGAGGGAAGAAAUUGACGGUACCUCCAGAAAAAGGACCGGCCAACUACGUGCCAGCAGCCGCGGUAAUACGUAGGGUCCGAGCGUUAUCCGGAAUCAUUGGGCGUAAAGAGCUCGUAGGCGGUUCAGCAAGUCGGCUGUGAAAGUUCGAGGCUCAACCUCGAAAUUGCAGUCGAUACUGCUGUGACUUGAAUUCGGUAGAGGAGAAUGGAAUUCCCGGUGUAGCGGUGAAAUGCGCAGAUAUCGGGAGGAACACCAGUGGCGAAGGCGGUUCUCUGGGCCGAUAUUGACGCUGAGGAGCGAAAGCGUGGGGAGCAAACAGGGUUAGAUACCCUGGUAGUCCACGCCGUAAACGUUGGAUGCUAGGUGUGGCGGUCUACCAACGACUGCCGUGCCGAAGCUAACGCAUUA
RNAcentral lists this ribosomal RNA (850 nucleotides) under uncultured deep-sea bacterium. RNAcentral describes it as "bacterial SSU rRNA". It matches the Rfam family "Bacterial small subunit ribosomal RNA", at positions 8 to 862 of the family's 1533-position model. The record is from RNAcentral.